RNAcentral lists this transfer RNA (77 nucleotides) under Candidatus Buchananbacteria bacterium. RNAcentral describes it as "tRNA-Arg". It matches the Rfam family "tRNA". From Rfam's summary of the family: Transfer RNA (tRNA) molecules are approximately 80 nucleotides in length. Their secondary structure includes four short double-helical elements and three loops (D, anti-codon, and T loops). Lineage: Bacteria; Candidatus Buchananiibacteriota. The record is from RNAcentral.
GUGUCUAUAGCUCAAUUGGAUAGAGCACUGGCCUCCGGAGCCAGGGGUUGUGGGUUCGAAUCCCGCUAGACACACCA